Molecule: ribosomal RNA, 1323 nt
Filed under: Salmonella enterica
Lineage: Bacteria; Pseudomonadati; Pseudomonadota; Gammaproteobacteria; Enterobacterales; Enterobacteriaceae
Also listed under: 1 other name
Description: partial 23S ribosomal RNA
Rfam family: Bacterial large subunit ribosomal RNA
Source: RNAcentral
AACCCAGUGUGACUCGUCACACUAUCAUUAACUGAAUCCAUAGGUUAAUGAGGCGAACCGGGGGAACUGAAACAUCUAAGUACCCCGAGGAAAAGAAAUCAACCGAGAUUCCCCCAGUAGCGGCGAGCGAACGGGGAGGAGCCCAGAGCCUGAAUCAGCAUGUGUGUUAGUGGAAGCGUCUGGAAAGGCGCGCGAUACAGGGUGACAGCCCCGUACACAAAAGCGCAUGUGCUGUGAGCUCGAUGAGUAGGGCGGGACACGUGGUAUCCUGUCUGAAUAUGGGGGGACCAUCCUCCAAGGCUAAAUACUCCUGACUGACCGAUAGUGAACCAGUACCGUGAGGGAAAGGCGAAAAGAACCCCGGCGAGGGGAGUGAAAAAGAACCUGAAACCGUGUACGUACAAGCAGUGGGAGCACCCUUUGGGUGUGACUGCGUACCUUUUGUAUAAUGGGUCAGCGACUUAUAUUCUGUAGCAAGGUUAACCGAAUAGGGGAGCCGGAGGGAAACCGAGUCUUAACCGGGCGUUAAGUUGCAGGGUAUAGACCCGAAACCCGGUGAUCUAGCCAUGGGCAGGUUGAAGGUUGGGUAACACUAACUGGAGGACCGAACCGACUAAUGUUGAAAAAUUAGCGGAUGACCUGUGGCUGGGGGUGAAAGGCCAAUCAAACCGGGAGAUAGCUGGUUCUCCCCGAAAGCUAUUUAGGUAGCGCCUCGUGAAUUCAUCUCCGGGGGUAGAGCACUGUUUCGGCUAGGGGGCCAUCCCGGCUUACCAACCCGAUGCAAACUGCGAAUACCGGAGAAUGUUAUCACGGGAGACACACGGCGGGUGCUAACGUCCGUCGUGAAGAGGGAAACAACCCAGACCGCCAGCUAAGGUCCCAAAGUCAUGGUUAAGUGGGAAACGAUGUGGGAAGGCCCAGACAGCCAGGAUGUUGGCUUAGAAGCAGCCAUCAUUUAAAGAAAGCGUAAUAGCUCACUGGUCGAGUCGGCCUGCGCGGAAGAUGUAACGGGGCUAAACCAUGCACCGAAGCUGCGGCAGCGACACUGUGUGUUGUUGGGUAGGGGAGCGUUCUGUAAGCCUGUGAAGGUGUGUCGUGAGGCAUGCUGGAGGUAUCAGAAGUGCGAAUGCUGACAUAAGUAACGAUAAAGCGGGUGAAAAGCCCGCUCGCCGGAAGACCAAGGGUUCCUGUCCAACGUUAAUCGGGGCAGGGUGAGUCGACCCCUAAGGCGAGGCCGAAAGGCGUAGUCGAUGGGAAACGGGUUAAUAUUCCCGUACUUGGUGUUACUGCGAAGGGGGGACGGAGAAGGCUAUGUUGGCCGGG